RNAcentral lists this ribosomal RNA (252 nucleotides) under uncultured bacterium. Its description in RNAcentral is "partial 16S ribosomal RNA". It matches the Rfam family "Bacterial small subunit ribosomal RNA", at positions 524 to 776 of the family's 1533-position model. The record is from RNAcentral.
UACGUAGGGGGCUAGCGUUAUCCGGAAUUACUGGGCGUAAAGGGUGCGUAGGUGGUUUCUUAAGUCAGAGGUGAAAGGCUACGGCUCAACCGUAGUAAGCCUUUGAAACUGGGAAACUUGAGUGCAGGAGAGGAGAGUGGAAUUCCUAGUGUAGCGGUGAAAUGCGUAGAUAUUAGGAGGAACACCAGUUGCGAAGGCGGCUCUCUGGACUGUAACUGACACUGAGGCACGGAAGCGUGGGGAGCAAACAGG